AAUAGGAGAAUGAUAAAUUAGAUUUUUCCUCUUAUUUUCAACUUAUUUUUCUCCUGCAAAAAUUCAAAUUCAACUAAAAAAGGAUAAAAAUCAAGAGGAAAAUUCUGAUUUGUCAUUCUCUUGUU
Non-coding RNA from Gossypium raimondii (Peruvian cotton), 125 nucleotides. The record is from Rfam. NCBI's taxonomy places the organism in Eukaryota, Viridiplantae, Streptophyta, Magnoliopsida, Malvales, Malvaceae.